Podarcis lilfordi (Lilford's wall lizard) is the source of this 122-nucleotide non-coding RNA. The record is from the annotation of a GenBank genome assembly. NCBI's taxonomy places the organism in Eukaryota, Metazoa, Chordata, Lepidosauria, Squamata, Lacertidae.
UAUAGCAUUUGUAUAUAUAUGCAUACAAUGGUGUCACAUGUGAAAAAAGAGAGAAGUGGUUCCUUGUUCUCUCUUUUUUCACACGCGACACCAUUGUAUGCAUAUAUAUACAAAUGCUACAU